UACGUAGGGGGCUAGCGUUGUCCGGAAUCAUUGGGCGUAAAGCGCGUGUAGGCGGUCCGGUAAGUCCGCUGUGAAAGUCGGGGGCUCAACCCUCGAAUGCCGGUGGAUACUGUCGGGCUAGAGUGCGGAAGAGGCGAGUGGAAUUCCUGGUGUAGCGGUGAAAUGCGCAGAUAUCGGGAGGAACACCGAUGGCGAAGGCAGGUCACUGGGCCGCAACUGACGCUGAGGAGCGAAAGCAUGGGGAGCGAACAGG
Molecule: ribosomal RNA, 253 nt
Filed under: uncultured bacterium
Lineage: Bacteria
Description: partial 16S ribosomal RNA
Rfam family: Bacterial small subunit ribosomal RNA
Source: RNAcentral